RNAcentral lists this ribosomal RNA (443 nucleotides) under uncultured bacterium. RNAcentral's name for it is "bacterial SSU rRNA". It matches the Rfam family "Bacterial small subunit ribosomal RNA", at positions 337 to 797 of the family's 1533-position model. The record is from RNAcentral.
UCCUACGGGGGGCAGCAGUCGGGAAUUUUGGGCAAUGGGCGAAAGCCUGACCCAGCAACGCCGCGUGAAGGAUGAAGUUUUUCGGAAUGUAAACUUCGUAAGAAUAGGAAGAAUAAAUGACGGUACUAUUUGUAAGGUCCGGCUAACUACGUGCCAGCAGCCGCGGUAAUACGUAGGGACCAAGCGUUGUUCGGAUUUACUGGGCGUAAAGGGCGCGUAGGCGGCAAUUCAAGUCAGCUGUGAAAUCUCCGGGCUUAACUCGGAACGGUCAGCUGAUACUGUUUUGCUAGAGUGUAGAAGGGGCAAUCGGAAUUCUUGGUGUAGCGGUGAAAUGCGUAGAUAUCAAGAGGAACACCAGAGGUGAAGACGGGUUGCUGGGCUGACACUGACGCUGAGGCGCGAAAGCUAGGGUAGCAAACGGGAUUAGAUACCCUGGUAGUCCG